GGCGUAAGGGCUCGUAGGUGGUUGAUCGCGUCGGAAGUGUAAUCUUGGGGCUUAACCCUGAGCGUGCUUUCGAUACGGGUUGACUUGAGGAAGGUAGGGGAGAAUGGAAUUCCUGGUGGAGCGGUGGAAUGCGCAAAUAUCAGGAGGAACACCAGUGGCGAAGGCGGUUCUCUGGGCCUUUCCUGACGCUGAGGAGCGAAAGCGUGGGGAGCGAACAGGCUUAAAUACCCUGGUAGUCCACGCUGUAAACGGUGGGUACUAGGUGUGGGGUCCAUUCCACGGGUUCCGUGCCGUAGCUAACGCUUUAAGUACCCCGCCUGGGGAGUACGGCCGCAAGGCUAAAACUCAAAGGAAUUGACGGGGCCCCGCACAAGCGGCGGAGCAUGCGGAUUAAUUCGAUGCAACGCGUAGAACCUUACCUGGGUUUGACAUGGAUCGGGAGCGCUCAAAGAUGGGUGUGCCUCUUUUGGGGUCGGUUCACAGGUGGUGCAUGGCUGUCGUCAGCUCGUGUCGUGAGAUGUUGGGUUAAGUCCCGCAACGAGCGCAACCCUUGUUCACUGUUGCCAGCACGUUAUGGUGGGGACUCAGUGGAGACCGCCGGGGUCAACUCGGAGGAAGGU
This 620-nucleotide ribosomal RNA is filed under the name uncultured Actinomycetes bacterium. Its description in RNAcentral is "bacterial SSU rRNA". It matches the Rfam family "Bacterial small subunit ribosomal RNA", at positions 557 to 1174 of the family's 1533-position model. Lineage: Bacteria; Bacillati; Actinomycetota; Actinomycetes. The record is from RNAcentral.